RNAcentral lists this ribosomal RNA (253 nucleotides) under uncultured bacterium. Its description in RNAcentral is "partial 16S ribosomal RNA". It matches the Rfam family "Bacterial small subunit ribosomal RNA", at positions 524 to 776 of the family's 1533-position model. The record is from RNAcentral.
UACGUAGGGCGCAAGCGUUAUCCGGAAUUAUUGGGCGUAAAGAGCUCGUAGGCGGUUUGUCGCGUCGGAUGUGAAAGCCCGGGGCUUAACUCCGGGUCUGCAUUCGAUACGGGCAGGCUAGAGUUCGGUAGGGGAGAUCGGAAUUCCUGGUGUAGCGGUGAAAUGCGCAGAUAUCAGGAGGAACACCGGUGGCGAAGGCGGAUCUCUGGGCCGAUACUGACGCUGAGGAGCGAAAGCGUGGGGAGCGAACAGG